This 459-nucleotide ribosomal RNA is filed under the name uncultured bacterium. RNAcentral describes it as "partial 16S ribosomal RNA". It matches the Rfam family "Bacterial small subunit ribosomal RNA", at positions 338 to 795 of the family's 1533-position model. The record is from RNAcentral.
CCUACGGGAGGCAGCAGUGAGGAAUAUUGGUCAAUGGCCGCAAGGCUGAACCAGCCAAGUCGCGUGAGGGAUGACGGUCCUCUGGAUUGUAAACCUCUUUUGUCAGGGAGCAAAGGGCGCCACGUGUGGCGCUUUGCGAGUACCUGAAGAAAAAGCAUCGGCUAACUCCGGGCCAGCAGCCCCGGUAAUACGGAGGAUGCGAGCGUUAUCCGGAUUUAUUGGGUUUAUAGGGUGCGCAGUCGGAAUGUCAAGUCAGUGGUAAAAUUUCGGGGUUCAACCCCGUCGUGCCGUUGAAACUGGCGUUCUUGAGUGAGCGAGAAGUAUGCGGAAUGCGUGGUGUAGCGGUGAAAUGCAUAGAUAUCACGAAGAACUCCGAUUGCGAAGGCAGCAUACCGGCGCUCAACUGACGCUCAUGCACGAAAGCGUGGGUAUCGAACAGGAUUAGAUACCCUUGUAGUC